Non-coding RNA from Picea glauca (white spruce), 195 nucleotides. The record is from Rfam. NCBI's taxonomy places the organism in Eukaryota, Viridiplantae, Streptophyta, Pinopsida, Pinales, Pinaceae.
AUACAUUUCUCGGCCUUUUGGCUAAGAUCAAGUGUAAUAUUUGAUCUUAUCAAUUUAAGAGGGAUUGGACAAACAUCACCCCUGCCUAAAACAUUAAGCACAACUCACUGGGAAGCUCAGGCAUAAACUCAAGCAUGCACUCAAUAAUAUUGAGAAAUAAACACAAAAGGUUUUCCUUUUUAUUAGUUAUCCUUG